UACCUAACUGGGUUAGGGCCCUGGCUCCAUCUCCUUUAGGAAAACCUUCUGUGGGGAGUGGGGCUUCGACCCUAACCCAGGUGGGCU
Macaca mulatta (Rhesus monkey) is the source of this 87-nucleotide non-coding RNA. The record is from Rfam. Lineage: Eukaryota; Metazoa; Chordata; Mammalia; Primates; Cercopithecidae.